RNAcentral lists this transfer RNA (77 nucleotides) under Flavobacterium sp. RNAcentral describes it as "tRNA-Thr". It matches the Rfam family "tRNA". Rfam says of the family: Transfer RNA (tRNA) molecules are approximately 80 nucleotides in length. Lineage: Bacteria; Pseudomonadati; Bacteroidota; Flavobacteriia; Flavobacteriales; Flavobacteriaceae. RNAcentral also lists the same sequence under 30 other names. The record is from RNAcentral.
GCCGGUGUAGCUCAGCUGGCUAGAGCAGCUGAUUUGUAAUCAGCAGGUCGUGGGUUCGAGUCCCUCCAUCGGCUCAA